This is a long non-coding RNA of Daphnia pulicaria, 3030 nucleotides long. RefSeq lists it as uncharacterized. The transcript is spliced from 12 exons. Lineage: Eukaryota; Metazoa; Arthropoda; Branchiopoda; Diplostraca; Daphniidae. The record is from RefSeq and is a predicted model, not a curated record.
AUUCGCUAGUUGCUAGAUGGCGGCUUCGGGAUUUGUUUCUUUCUUCGCUAGAUGGCGAAAAAGUAGGGGAUUCAUUUCUUUCUGCUAGUUCUCCUCAUUCCUCACUCCUCAGUCAGUCAGUUGUUUUCCUAUAUUUUAACUCAUUCACGUACAGUUUACGGCUUUACUUUACUUAACUGUCCAAAGGAGAGAAAUUGUUCGUUAAAUUUUCGGUGCAUUUACUCCAGAAAACUCUUUGUGGAAAUUUUUAUUUGGUAGAGCGAAGCCCAAGAAAUAUCGAAUUAAUACCAUAGUCCCCUAAAAAGUUCUUAAAACACAACUCAAAACACAAACUCAUUAAUUUACUUCUUCAAAUUCUAGAUGCAUACUGCUGUCAGUCAUUCCAACAACUCAACAAGUUGACUUAGCAGCUCAGUCAUUUUCCAUCCAUUAGAUUUUCAUGCUGUCGAAAGCCUAAACUCAUGUUUGAAGCACACAUAUUGUGCUUGUUUAUAGUGGAAUAAAAAUGUGCCGAGAUAAGCCAUAGGAUCUUUUCUGAAUCUUGCAGUUUGGUGGUGUAACCUGCAACAGCAUGUUUGUUGUUAUGGCUGUUUCUACUUCUGUUUAAGAGGCAACCCAGCUGAGGCUGAGGGAUAGGUAGAGUUUAUUUCUCAUAAGUAAAUUUGUAAAUAACAUAGAGAAAUUUGUCCCAUCGCUACUUAUAGUUUCAGUGACAUGAAGAGUGUGAAGUGAAUAACCUGCAAUGUACAUGUACCAGAUCUGUACAUGAAUAUAUGUACAUGAGUGCAGACAUAUCUGCAAACACGAAGGUUAUGAAUUUCGUUCUUGUGUUCAAUGGAGUUAGUGCUGGUUGCAGCUACUGGCCUUUUGUGACGUCUUGAUAUCAGUUUGGAAUAAUAGCUGGACUCUGGGGAAUCCUCACUCACACUCGAGUUGUUUGCACGUAAGCAGCCUGCAGACAGGUCACGAUGAAGGUUACGAGAAACAUUACGUAAAACUGGCAUAUGGUGGUGUAGAGGUUGGGUGAGAAUGACACGUGUUUCAUCAUUCAUCAAGCAGGUACAAUAGCCGCAAGGGUUAAGAGGUGGGUCAGGGCGAGGAAAAAUAGAAUAAAAGGAGAGAGAAAAGUCGAAAGAAAUCAGUCGAAUGAGCAUCUCUGCACGACAACAGUAACUGCAGUCAGUGCAGUGCACUGUUUGUCAUCAACUUUAUUCUUCAUCGUGUUACCAGUUUUCAAUCAUGGGCGUCGUGCUGCUGUUACUACUUACUAGUAGUUACCAACGGCAUUCCUCUCUUAUUAUAAUCAGUUUGAAUCACUCCAGAUUAUUACACCAAACUUAUGCUGCCCCAAGUUAAUACACCAAAUCCCCGAAGUAUUAUUCGUCCCCGAGCUACGCUACCAAGGGGUCAAGUACUACACCGAGGCUCUGAAGUACUACAUAAUCAAGGCACCGGAGUACUACACAACUACGUAUGCUGCCCCAGCUUACUACACCGAGGCUCCCAAGUACUACACCACCAUGGCACUGUUGUACUGCACAACUACAUAUCAUGGUCGUAUAUAAUGGGAAAUAAAUCAGUCGAGUGUGCAUCUCCGAUACGGCAACAGCAACUGCAGUGCUAAGGCUCAGACUAUUACACCACUACUUAUGUUGCCCCGAAAUACUACACCAAAGCGCCUGAGUACAAUACCGAGGCCACUAAUUACUACACCACCAGGGCACCGCAGUACUACAUCACUACACAUCAUGGUCGUAUUAAAGGAGAGAAAAGGUGACGAGUGAGCAACUCCGUUACAGCAACUGCCAUGCACUAUUCAUUCUUGAAUAGUCACCAAUUUCAUUCUUCGUCGCAUUACAAGUUUUAAUAAAGUAAACUAUGGCGUCGUGCUGAAGUUGGGUGUCGUAUCGUUGAUGGCUGGGUCGACCACUGGUGUACCGAUGUUUCCUGGGUAUGGCGGGUACCAAAGCACAACACUGCCGUGCCGUGCAUCCGUUUAUUAUUUCGUGAUCUGUCGUAGUGUAAUGCAAAUGCUCAGUUCUCAACCGGUUUUCCAUCAUGUUUAACAAACUCGAUACUAUUAAAAAUGAUUGCUCUUGGCCGUAAUUUUUCCAUCGGCACUCUCUACAAUCACAUUGAAGACGUCAUUGUACCCAAUAUGCGUCUGUCGGUCUGUGGGAUCCAAGUGAUGUUUCUUGUCUGGCCACUGUCAAAAUAACAGAACGGAAAGAAACUGUCAAAGUUCAUUCAAUUGUGGCCGAGCAAAUGAGUGAAGAAGAAGACGAUAUUGAUGAUGAUGAAUCUGGGACCACCUUGUUGUCUGAUUUGGGAAUGGACAAUCACUCGGCCAUGAGUUUGAUGGCUGGACUGUUACACCCUUCAUUGGCAGGAGCUUGGCAGUACCCGAUCUGAUUCCACAAUGGGAUUGUUUGAUCUCGGCUCUGAAGUGGCAAUCCAUUGUCGUUCCUCCAGCAGGAAAGUCUCAGUCGACCCCACUAGCCUGGAAAUUAUCUGCCGGCCAGAGAGACUCAUCAAGAGCCAGGCCACUCACGUCGUUGUAGCGGUCACUUACGGCCUGGAGGCCUUCUGCAUUUUCUCUCCUCAACUCGGCCCACAUCCGAAAAGUUCCAGGGAGGAAGACGACUACGCCCACUACUUUGCCAACGGACUUUUGAAUGGCCGAAAUCAACUAGAACUGGACGAAGAAGAUGAAGACGGCCGCCUUAUUCCGUUAAACUUGCAGUGCUGGACUUUGAAGGACGUCGGCGAGCAGUACCAAGCCUGCAGGAAAGUCAUGGAUCACCUGGCCAGCACGGCCAUCCCGUUGAGAGUGUGGUUGUACCCUCUUAGAGGGAAAUUGCUCGUUAAAUUGUUGAAAAAGUUGCACCCUUUGAACUCAUUUCUCCAGAAAUUCUUUAUGGACAUUUUUAUUUGGUAGAGCGAACAAGCCCAAGGAAUAUCGAAUUAAUACCACAGGCCCAAUACUAAAAAGUUUCAUAAUCUAUAGAUAACAAAUCAUCUAUAUUUUUU